RNAcentral lists this transfer-messenger RNA (386 nucleotides) under Helicobacter pylori. It matches the Rfam family "transfer-messenger RNA". From Rfam's summary of the family: Bacterial tmRNA, also known as 10Sa RNA or SsrA, is named for its dual tRNA and mRNA-like properties. Its role is to liberate the mRNA from a stalled ribosome. To accomplish this part of the tmRNA is used as a reading frame that ends in a translation stop signal. The record is from RNAcentral. Lineage: Bacteria; Pseudomonadati; Campylobacterota; Epsilonproteobacteria; Campylobacterales; Helicobacteraceae.
GGGGCUGACUUGGAUUUCGACAGAUUUCUUGUCGCACAGAUAGCAUGCCAAGCGCUGCUUGUAAAACAGCAACAAAAAUAACUGUAAACAACGCAGAUUACGCUCCAGCUUACGCUAAAGUUGCGUGAGUUAAUCUCCUUUUGGAGCUGGACUGAUUAGAAUUUCUAGCGUUUUAAUCACUCCAUAACCUUAAGCUAGACGCUUUUAAAAGGUGGUUCGCCUUUUAAAAUAAGAAACAAGAACUCUUGAAACUAUCUCAAGGUUUUAGAAAGUUGGACCAGAGCUAGUUUUAAGGCUAAAAAACUAACCAAUUUUCUAAGCAUUGUAGAAGUUUGUGUUUAGGGCAAGAUUUUUGGACUGGGGUUCGAUUCCCCACAGCUCCACCA